AGUCGAGCGAAUGGAUUAAGAGCUUGCUCUUAUGAAGUUAGCGGCGGACGGGUGAGUAACACGUGGGUAACCUGCCCAUAAGACUGGGAUAACUCCGGGAAACCGGGGCUAAUACCGGAUAACAUUUUGAACCGCAUGGUUCGAAAUUGAAAGGCGGCUUCGGCUGUCACUUAUGGAUGGACCCGCGUCGCAUUAGCUAGUUGGUGAGGUAACGGCUCACCAAGGCAACGAUGCGUAGCCGACCUGAGAGGGUGAUCGGCCACACUGGGACUGAGACACGGCCCAGACUCCUACGGGAGGCAGCAGUAGGGAAUCUUCCGCAAUGGACGAAAGUCUGACGGAGCAACGCCGCGUGAGUGAUGAAGGCUUUCGGGUCGUAAAACUCUGUUGUUAGGGAAGAACAAGUGCUAGUUGAAUAAGCUGGCACCUUGACGGUACCUAACCAGAAAGCCACGGCUAACUACGUGCCAGCAGCCGCGGUAAUACGUAGGUGGCAAGCGUUAUCCGGAAUUAUUGCGCGUAAAGCGCGCGCAGGUGGUUUCUUAAGUCUGAUGUGAAAGCCCACGGCUCAACCGUGGAGGGUCAUUGGAAACUGGGAGACUUGAGUGCAGAAGAGGAAAGUGGAAUUCCAUGUGU
This 636-nucleotide ribosomal RNA is filed under the name Bacillus sp. PSu2_20. RNAcentral's name for it is "bacterial SSU rRNA". It matches the Rfam family "Bacterial small subunit ribosomal RNA", at positions 60 to 676 of the family's 1533-position model. Lineage: Bacteria; Bacillati; Bacillota; Bacilli; Caryophanales; Bacillaceae. The record is from RNAcentral.